This is a long non-coding RNA of Pan paniscus (pygmy chimpanzee), 504 nucleotides long. The record is from Ensembl. Lineage: Eukaryota; Metazoa; Chordata; Mammalia; Primates; Hominidae.
UAGGAAAGGUAUUAAAAGAGGGAUAGAUGCUCAUCUGUGUUUAUUUUUUCCCUUAGGGAAUAUGGUUACAUCAGAGAACAAAUCAAAUCCUUAAACACAGAGAAAAACAACAACAAACAUUCACUAGGAAAUGAUGAAAAUUAAUAGACACACGCAUUUGUUAGAGAAACUGUCUGCUUAUGCCAGGUCCAAUGCAGUGGAUCAAGGUGUGCCAGGCUGUCAACAUUGUUAAAGUAAACAUGAAGCUUCAUGAUGUGCAUCUGGUGCCUGGUUUAGGAUCUGCACCAUGGUUGGUCAUGUAAAUUGAUCCAUUUCAGAACAUGUAUCCCAAGACUUAAGUUGCUUCCCUUGGUGGAGAUAUCUUGCAUGUGUCUUCACUGUUCCUGACUGGAGAGAAAAGCAAGUUUCUCUGCCUUUACAGAGAUCAGGAGACCUUCAAAUCCUGUUAAUAACCAUUCUAUCAUUUUCUAUGUAUAUUUUCCCUGCUGUUUCCACACUGUGUGC